RNAcentral lists this ribosomal RNA (468 nucleotides) under uncultured bacterium. Its description in RNAcentral is "partial 16S ribosomal RNA". It matches the Rfam family "Bacterial small subunit ribosomal RNA", at positions 28 to 507 of the family's 1533-position model. The record is from RNAcentral.
GACGAACGCUGGCGGCGUGCUUAACACAUGCGAGUCGAACGGAAAGGCCCUGCUUUUGUGGGGUGCUCGAGUGGCGAACGGGUGAGUAACACGUGAGUAACCUGCCCUUGACUUUGGGAUAACUUCAGGAAACUGGGGCUAAUACCGGAUAGGAGCUCCUGCUGCAUGGUGGGGGUUGGAAAGUUUCGGCGGUUGGGGAUGGACUCGCGGCUUAUCAGCUUGUUGGUGGGGUAGUGGCUUACCAAGGCUUUGACGGGUAGCCGGCCUGGGAGGGUGACCGGCCACAUGGGGACUGAGAGACGGCCCAGACUCCUACGGGAGGCAGCAGUGGGGAAUAUUGCACAAUGGGCGGAAGCCUGAUGCAGCAACGCCGCGUGCGGGAUGACGGCCUUCGGGUUGUAAACCGCUUUCGCCUGUGACGAAGCGUGAGUGACGGUAAUGGGUAAAGAAGCACCGGCUAACUACGUG